AUUUCCUACGGGACGCAGCAGUGAGGAAUAUUGGUCAAUGGGCGGGAGCCUGAACCAGCCAAGUCGCGUGAGGGAAGACGGUCCUAUGGAUUGUAAACCUCUUUAGGCGGGGAGCAGUGCCGGGCACGCGUGCCCGGAGGGAGAGUACCCGCAGAAUAAGCAUCGGCUAACUCCGUGCCAGCAGCCGCGGUAAUACGGAGGAUGCGAGCGUUAUCCGGAUUUAUUGGGUUUAAAGGGUGCGUAGGCGGGUUUUUAAGUCAGCGGUAAAAUGUCCGGGCUCAACCCGGGCCGGACGUUGAAAAUGG
RNAcentral lists this ribosomal RNA (305 nucleotides) under uncultured bacterium. Its description in RNAcentral is "bacterial SSU rRNA". It matches the Rfam family "Bacterial small subunit ribosomal RNA", at positions 334 to 636 of the family's 1533-position model. The record is from RNAcentral.